This 77-nucleotide transfer RNA is filed under the name Anaerolineaceae bacterium 4572_32.2. RNAcentral describes it as "tRNA-Val". It matches the Rfam family "tRNA". From Rfam's summary of the family: Transfer RNA (tRNA) molecules are approximately 80 nucleotides in length. Their secondary structure includes four short double-helical elements and three loops (D, anti-codon, and T loops). Further hydrogen bonds mediate the characteristic L-shaped molecular structure. tRNAs have two regions of fundamental functional importance: the anti-codon, which is responsible for specific mRNA codon recognition, and the 3' end, to which the tRNAs corresponding amino acid is attached (by aminoacyl-tRNA synthetases). tRNAs cope with the degeneracy of the genetic code in two manners: having more than one tRNA (with a specific anti-codon) for a particular amino acid; and 'wobble' base-pairing, i.e. permitting non-standard base-pairing at the 3rd anti-codon position. Lineage: Bacteria; Bacillati; Chloroflexota; Anaerolineae; Anaerolineales; Anaerolineaceae. The record is from RNAcentral. RNAcentral also lists the same sequence under 1 other name.
GGGCGGUUAGCUCAGCUGGUCAGAGCGCCUCCCUUACAAGGAGGAGGUCACAGGUUCGAGUCCCGUACCGCCCAUCA